Molecule: ribosomal RNA, 752 nt
Filed under: uncultured bacterium
Lineage: Bacteria
Description: bacterial SSU rRNA
Rfam family: Bacterial small subunit ribosomal RNA
Source: RNAcentral
AGAGUUUGAUCCUGGCUCAGAAUCAACGCUGGCGGCGCGCUUAACACAUGCAAGUCGCACGAGAAAGGGAGCAAUCCUAAGUAAAGUGGCGCACGGGUGAGUAACACGUGGAUCAUCUACCUUUUAGUGGGGAAUACCUCUGGGAAACCGGAGACAAUACCGCAUAAGCCCGCAAGGGGAAAGCAGCAAUGCGCUGAAAGAGGAGUCCGCGGCCGAUUAGCUAGUUGGCGGGGUAACGGCCCACCAAGGCGAAGAUCGGUAGCCGGCCUGAGAGGGCACACGGCCACACUGGCACUGAAACACGGGCCAGACUCCUACGGGAGGCAGCAGUGGGGAAUCUUGCACAAUGGGCGAAAGCCUGAUGCAGCGACGCCGCGUGAGCGAUGAAGCCCUUCGGGGUGUAAAGCUCUUUCGACGGGAACGAUAAUGACGGUACCCGGAGAAGAAGCUGCGGCUAACUACGUGCCAGCAGCCGCGGUAAUACGUAGGCAGCGAGCGUUGUUCGGAAUUACUGGGCGUAAAGAGUGUGUAGGCGGUGUUCCCAGUCUGUUGUGAAAUCUCCCGGCUUAACUGGGAGGGUGCAGCGGAAACUAGAAUGCUAGAGGGUGGGAGAGGUAAGCGGAAUUCCUGGUGUAGCGGUGAAAUGCGUAGAUAUCAGGAGGAACACCUGGUGUAGACAGCUUACUGGACCACUUCUGACGCUGAGACACGAAAGCGUGGGUAGCAAACAGGAUUAGAUACCCUAGUAGUCC